UACGUAGGGUGCAAGCGUUGUCCGGAAUUAUUGGGCGUAAAGAGCUCGUAGGCGGUUUUGUCGCGUCUGCUGUGAAAACGCGAGGCUCAACCUCGCGCCUGCAGUGGGUACGGGCAGACUAGAGUGCGGUAGGGGAGAUUGGAAUUCCUGGUGUAGCGGUGGAAUGCGCAGAUAUCAGGAGGAACACCGGUGGCGAAGGCGGGUCUCUGGGGCCAUACUGACGUGAGGAGCGAAAGCGUGGGGGAGCG
RNAcentral lists this ribosomal RNA (248 nucleotides) under uncultured bacterium. RNAcentral describes it as "partial 16S ribosomal RNA". It matches the Rfam family "Bacterial small subunit ribosomal RNA", at positions 524 to 770 of the family's 1533-position model. The record is from RNAcentral.